AAAAGAGGCAGAAUGUAGAAGAAUUAGAAAUUUGGAUUGAUCCAAGAUUUAAAUCACGAAAUUAUGCGAAAAAUAGACGUUUUAAAGAAAUUAUUAAAGAAGGACAUUCAAAAACGACCACUCCUGUAAGAAAAAAAUAUGAAAAUGUAAAAAAAAUGAAAAGGAAGGCUCAAAAUGGAUCGAAAGUAGAAGAAUUUCUAGCGCCAUCACAGCAUAACAAUUUAACUUCGAG
Molecule: long non-coding RNA, 232 nt
Organism: Pieris napi
Lineage: Eukaryota; Metazoa; Arthropoda; Insecta; Lepidoptera; Pieridae
Exons: 3
Source: RefSeq, a predicted model, not a curated record